UUAAAUUGAAGAGUUUGAUCAUGGCUCAGAUUGAACGCUGGCGGCAGGCCUAACACAUGCAAGUCGAACGGUAACAGGAAUCAGCUUGCUGAUUCGCUGACGAGUGGCGGACGGGUGAGUAAUGUCUGGGAAACUGCCUGAUGGAGGGGGAUAACUACUGGAAACGGUAGCUAAUACCGCAUAACGUCGCAAGACCAAAGAGGGGGACCUUCGGGCCUCU
This 220-nucleotide ribosomal RNA is filed under the name Escherichia coli. Its description in RNAcentral is "partial 16S ribosomal RNA". It matches the Rfam family "Bacterial small subunit ribosomal RNA", at positions 1 to 217 of the family's 1533-position model. Lineage: Bacteria; Pseudomonadati; Pseudomonadota; Gammaproteobacteria; Enterobacterales; Enterobacteriaceae. The record is from RNAcentral.